Molecule: ribosomal RNA, 696 nt
Filed under: Triticum aestivum (bread wheat)
Lineage: Eukaryota; Viridiplantae; Streptophyta; Magnoliopsida; Poales; Poaceae
Description: partial small subunit ribosomal RNA
Source: RNAcentral
AUGGCAUCUUCUUCUUCUCCGUCGUCCAUGGUGACCCAGAUAUCUCCACUGACCAACGACGUCGACGACCGUAAGAUAACAGCCGCUGGCGCGGCACUGCCAACGCCAACCACAGACAGGGUCAUGUUUGGCAUCGCAAACCUUGCGCAACUCCUGCCAACGGGCACGGUGCUGACGUACCAGGCAUUGUCCCCGUCCUUCACCAACCACGGCAAAUGCGAGACCUCCGGCUCCAACCAGUGGCUCACCGCGGCGCUGGUCGCUGUCCUCGCCGCAGUGUGCAUCUUCUUUUCCUUCACGGACAGUGUCAUUGGCCACCAUGAUGGAAAGCUGUACUACGGUGUGGCCACGACGCACGGCUUCAAUGUGUUCAACUUCUCCGACGAGGAUGAGAGGCGGGAGUGGUCCGGUCUGGACGAGUUUCGGAGGCUCCGCCUCCAGACGCUGGACUUCGUGCACGGCUUCUUCACGGCGGUGGUUUUCCUCACGGUGGCGUUCAGCGAUGUGGGACUGCAGAACUGCUUCUUCCCGGACGCCGGCAGGAACAACCAAGAGCUUCUCAAGAACCUACCUCUAGGAAUGGCGUUCCUUUCCAGCAUUGUGUUCAUCAUCUUCCCCACCAAACGGAAGGGCAUCGGAUUUAGUGACACGACUCCUCGCCAAAAGUUCGUCCAUCCCAGCUUGAAUAAAGUUUGA